This 1119-nucleotide ribosomal RNA is filed under the name Staphylococcus aureus. RNAcentral describes it as "bacterial SSU rRNA". It matches the Rfam family "Bacterial small subunit ribosomal RNA", at positions 1 to 1099 of the family's 1533-position model. The record is from RNAcentral. Lineage: Bacteria; Bacillati; Bacillota; Bacilli; Caryophanales; Staphylococcaceae.
UUUAUGGAGAGUUUGAUCCUGGCUCAGGAUGAACGCUGGCGGCGUGCCUAAUACAUGCAAGUCGAGCGAACGGACGAGAAGCUUGCUUCUCUGAUGUUAGCGGCGGACGGGUGAGUAACACGUGGAUAACCUACCUAUAAGACUGGGAUAACUUCGGGAAACCGGAGCUAAUACCGGAUAAUAUUUUGAACCGCAUGGUUCAAAAGUAAAAGACGGUCUUGCUGUCACUUAUAGAUGGAUCCGCGCUGCAUUAGCUAGUUGGUAAGGUAACGGCUUACCAAGGCAACGAUGCAUAGCCGACCUGAGAGGGUGAUCGGCCACACUGGAACUGAGACACGGUCCAGACUCCUACGGGAGGCAGCAGUAGGGAAUCUUCCGCAAUGGGCGAAAGCCUGACGGAGCAACGCCGCGUGAGUGAUGAAGGUCUUCGGAUCGUAAAACUCUGUUAUUAGGGAAGAACAUAUGUGUAAGUAACUGUGCACAUCUUGACGGUACCUAAUCAGAAAGCCACGGCUAACUACGUGCCAGCAGCCGCGGUAAUACGUAGGUGGCAAGCGUUAUCCGGAAUUAUUGGGCGUAAAGCGCGCGUAGGCGGUUUUUUAAGUCUGAUGUGAAAGCCCACGGCUCAACCGUGGAGGGUCAUUGGAAACUGGAAAACUUGAGUGCAGAAGAGGAAAGUGGAAUUCCAUGUGUAGCGGUGAAAUGCGCAGAGAUAUGGAGGAACACCAGUGGCGAAGGCGACUUUCUGGUCUGUAACUGACGCUGAUGUGCGAAAGCGUGGGGAUCAAACAGGAUUAGAUACCCUGGUAGUCCACGCCGUAAACGAUGAGUGCUAAGUGUUAGGGGGUUUCCGCCCCUUAGUGCUGCAGCUAACGCAUUAAGCACUCCGCCUGGGGAGUACGACCGCAAGGUUGAAACUCAAAGGAAUUGACGGGGACCCGCACAAGCGGUGGAGCAUGUGGUUUAAUUCGAAGCAACGCGAAGAACCUUACCAAAUCUUGACAUCCUUUGACAACUCUAGAGAUAGAGCCUUCCCCUUCGGGGGACAAAGUGACAGGUGGUGCAUGGUUGUCGUCAGCUCGUGUCGUGAGAUGUUGGGUUAAGUCCCGCAACGAGCGC